GAUGAAGAACGUAGCGAAAUGCGAUAAGUAGUGUGAAUUGCAGAAUUCCGUGAAUCAUCGAAUCUUUGAACGCACAUUGCGCCUUCUGGUAUUCCGGAAGGCAUGCCUGUUCGAGAGUCAUUAACAACCGUUUCGAUCCCUUUCUUUCAGAAAUUACAAAGAGGAAAAGGGUUUGGUUAUGGUGGAGGAGGGAAAGGGAGCGUUUAGCCUGUAAAAAAAGAGGCUGUGUUCCGCCUCCCCCCCAAAAUUGUACAGGCGGUCGUGUGCGCCCACGCAUCGAGGUGUUGUAAAAGCUGCCACGGCACUUUUCACCUGUGCAGUGCGAGAUUGGCCAGCCGGUUUAAAAACCCCUCCAAACAAUCAAAGGUUGACCUCGGAUCACGUAGGGAUACCCGCUGAACUUAAGCAUAUCAAUAAGCGGAGGA
RNAcentral lists this unclassified non-coding RNA (425 nucleotides) under soil metagenome. Its description in RNAcentral is "partial contains 5.8S ribosomal RNA, internal transcribed spacer 2, and large subunit ribosomal RNA". The stretch from base 1 to 120 matches the Rfam family "5.8S ribosomal RNA", at positions 35 to 154 of the family's 154-position model. The record is from RNAcentral.